Molecule: ribosomal RNA, 255 nt
Filed under: uncultured bacterium
Lineage: Bacteria
Description: partial 16S ribosomal RNA
Rfam family: Bacterial small subunit ribosomal RNA
Source: RNAcentral
UACGUAGGGGGCAAGCGUUUGUCCGGAAUUAUUGGGCGUAAAGCGCGUGUAGGCGGUCCGAUAAGUCGGUUGUGAAAGUCCAGGGCUCAACUCUGGGAUGCCGGCCGAUACUGUCGGACUAGAGUUCGGAAGAGGCGAGUGGAAUUCCCGGUGUAGCGGUGAAAUGCGCAGAUAUCGGGAGGAACACCAAUGGCGAAGGCAGCUCGCUGGGACGUUACUGACGCUGAGACGGCGAAAGCGUGGGGAGCAAACAGG